GGAAGGGGUGUAUUUAUUAGAUAAAAAACCAAUGCCCUUCGGGGCUUCUUGGUGAUUCAUGAUAACUUUACGGAUCGCAUGGCCUUGCGCCGGCGACGGUUCAUUCAAAUUUCUGCCCUAUCAACUUUCGAUGGUAAGGUAUUGGCUUACCAUGGUUUCAACGGGUAACGGGGAAUUAGGGUUCGAUUCCGGAGAGGGAGCCUGAGAAACGGCUACCACAUCCAAGGAAGGCAGCAGGCGCGCAAAUUACCCAAUCCCGACACGGGGAGGUAGUGACAAUAAAUACUGAUACAGGGCUCUUUUGGGUCUUGUAAUUGGAAUGAGUACAAUUUAAACCUCUUAACGAGGAACAAUUGGAGGGCAAGUCUGGUGCCAGCAGCCGCGGUAAUUCCAGCUCCAAUAGCGUAUAUUAAAGUUGUUGCAGUUAAAAAGCUCGUAGUUGAAACUUGGGUCUGGCUGGCAGGUCCGCCUCACCGCGUGUACUUGUCCGGCCGGGCCUUCCUUCUGGAGAACCUCAUGCCCUUCAUUGGGCGUGUUGGGGACCAGGACUUUUAC
RNAcentral lists this ribosomal RNA (555 nucleotides) under uncultured fungus. Its description in RNAcentral is "SSU rRNA". It matches the Rfam family "Eukaryotic small subunit ribosomal RNA", at positions 194 to 755 of the family's 1831-position model. The record is from RNAcentral. Lineage: Eukaryota; Fungi.